ACGGAAGGCAGCAGUGGGGAAUAUUGCACAAUGGGGGAAACCCUGAUGCAGCGAUGCCGCGUGAAGGAUGAAGUUCUUCGGAAUGUAAACUUCUAUCAGCAGGGAAGAUAAUGACGGUACCUGACUAAGAAGCACCGGCUAAAUACGUGCCAGCAGCCGCGGUAAUACGUAUGGUGCAAGCGUUAUCCGGAUUUACUGGGUGUAAAGGGAGCGUAGACGGCAUGGCAAGUCUGAAGUGAAAGCCCGGGGCUCAACCCCGGGACUGCUUUGGAAACUGCUAAGCUAGAGUGCAGGAGAGGUAAGUGGAAUUCCUAGUGUAGCGGUGAAAUGCGUAGAUAUUAGGAGGAACACCAGUGGCGAAGGCGGCUUACUGGACUGUAACUGACGUUGAGGCUCGAAAGCGUGGGGAGCAAACAGGAUUAGAUACCCUGGUA
RNAcentral lists this ribosomal RNA (434 nucleotides) under uncultured Clostridium sp. Its description in RNAcentral is "partial 16S ribosomal RNA". It matches the Rfam family "Bacterial small subunit ribosomal RNA", at positions 341 to 792 of the family's 1533-position model. The record is from RNAcentral. Lineage: Bacteria; Bacillati; Bacillota; Clostridia; Eubacteriales; Clostridiaceae.